UCUUUUUAUUGUGUGCCAGCAGCCGCGGUAAUACGGAGGAUGCGAGCGUUAUCCGGAUUUAUUGGGUUUAAAGGGAGCGCAGACGGGAGAUUAAGUCAGUUGUGAAAGUUUGCGGCUCAACCGUAAAAUUGCAGUUGAUACUGGUUUCCUUGAGUGCAGUUGAGGCAGGCGGAAUUCGUGGUGUAGCGGUGAAAUGCUUAGAUAUCACGAAGAACCCCGAUUGCGAAGGCAGCUUGCUAAACUGUAACUGACGUUCAUGCUCGAAAGUGUGGGUAUCAAACAGG
Molecule: ribosomal RNA, 284 nt
Filed under: Phocaeicola coprocola DSM 17136
Lineage: Bacteria; Pseudomonadati; Bacteroidota; Bacteroidia; Bacteroidales; Bacteroidaceae
Description: partial 16S ribosomal RNA
Rfam family: Bacterial small subunit ribosomal RNA
Source: RNAcentral